Molecule: ribosomal RNA, 253 nt
Filed under: uncultured bacterium
Lineage: Bacteria
Description: partial 16S ribosomal RNA
Rfam family: Bacterial small subunit ribosomal RNA
Source: RNAcentral
UACGUAGGGCGCAAGCGUUAUCCGGAAUUACUGGGCGUAAAGCGUGCGCAGGCGGUUUUGUAAGUCAGAUGUGAAAGCCCCGGGCUCAACCUGGGAAUGGCAUUUGGGACUGCAAGGCUGGAGUUUGGCAGAGGAGAGUGGAAUUCCUGGUGUAGCGGUGAAAUGCGCAGAUAUCAGGAAGAACACCCGUGGCGAAGGCGGCUCUCUGGGACGGUACUGACGCUGAGACGCGAAAGCCAGGGGAGCAAACGGG